UCCUUAGGAAAGCAGGGAAGGAGUGA
RNAcentral lists this non-coding RNA (26 nucleotides) under Rattus norvegicus (Norway rat). The record is from RNAcentral. Lineage: Eukaryota; Metazoa; Chordata; Mammalia; Rodentia; Muridae.